This 620-nucleotide ribosomal RNA is filed under the name uncultured Achromobacter sp. RNAcentral describes it as "bacterial SSU rRNA". It matches the Rfam family "Bacterial small subunit ribosomal RNA", at positions 8 to 623 of the family's 1533-position model. Lineage: Bacteria; Pseudomonadati; Pseudomonadota; Betaproteobacteria; Burkholderiales; Alcaligenaceae. The record is from RNAcentral.
AGAGUUUGAUCCUGGCUCAGAUUGAACGCUAGCGGGAUGCCUUACACAUGCAAGUCGAACGGCAGCACGGACUUCGGUCUGGUGGCGAGUGGCGAACGGGUGAGUAAUGUAUCGGAACGUGCCCAGUAGCGGGGGAUAACUACGCGAAAGCGUAGCUAAUACCGCAUACGCCCUACGGGGGAAAGCAGGGGAUCGCAAGACCUUGCACUAUUGGAGCGGCCGAUAUCGGAUUAGCUAGUUGGUGGGGUAACGGCUCACCAAGGCGACGAUCCGUAGCUGGUUUGAGAGGACGACCAGCCACACUGGGACUGAGACACGGCCCAGACUCCUACGGGAGGCAGCAGUGGGGAAUUUUGGACAAUGGGGGAAACCCUGAUCCAGCCAUCCCGCGUGUGCGAUGAAGGCCUUCGGGUUGUAAAGCACUUUUGGCAGGAAAGAAACGUCAUGGGUUAAUACCCCGUGAAACUGACGGUACCUGCAGAAUAAGCACCGGCUAACUACGUGCCAGCAGCCGCGGUAAUACGUANGGUGCAAGCGUUAAUCGGAAUUACUGGGCGUAAAGCGUGCGCAGGCGGUUCGGAAAGAAAGAUGUGAAAUCCCAGAGCUUAACUUUGGAACUG